AUCCUUCCAAAAUGUUCCAGCUGUGGAUGGAAUUAAAUUCAACAGUGAAUCCCAUCUCCUGUGCUGACAUGAUGGACUAGUAAGAAUAAACCUUUGAGAGACAACAUUGGAAUUAAAGUACUGGAACAUUUUCUUGGCCACCUGAGAAAAUUCGUUGACAUCUGAGAAAUCUGGGAGUAGCUGGUGCCAAACUAUCUGCUGGUUUUGGAGCCAUGGGAUAAUUUAGACUGGAAGGGACCACUGGAGGUCAUCUAGUCCAACCUGCUGCU
Long non-coding RNA from Nothoprocta perdicaria, 269 nucleotides. RefSeq lists it as uncharacterized. The transcript is spliced from 3 exons. The record is from RefSeq and is a predicted model, not a curated record. Lineage: Eukaryota; Metazoa; Chordata; Aves; Tinamiformes; Tinamidae.